Non-coding RNA from Theobroma cacao (cacao), 1444 nucleotides. The record is from RefSeq and is a predicted model, not a curated record. NCBI's taxonomy places the organism in Eukaryota, Viridiplantae, Streptophyta, Magnoliopsida, Malvales, Malvaceae.
AACGCAGAGAGUAUGAGGAUCUUGAGAGUUUGCUGAUCGUGCCGAGGGAGAAGUAGGCGUUCAAUGUCGCAAUUAACACUCACUAUAAGUGGUCGCAGCUGCAUUCCAUCACAAAGACUCUCUAACAGAAGGGGGAGUACGAUCCAGUUAAGCGUACCUGCUUCGGAAUGCUCUUGGACGUAUAUCCACAGGGGUACUUUUACGUCGGUCUCUUGCACAACAUCAUGAUUCACCGGAUCACUGAGAGGCAGUCAAUGGACCACGAGCUAUGGUUUGCCAUUGGCAAGAGCAAGGCGCGACUAUCAAAGCGGGAGUUCUGUCUCAUCACCGGGCUGAAGUUUGGUCCAAUGCCCGAUGUGUUCAGACGAUCAUACGAGGUUGCUGCAGAUGGAAUUCAUGCAAGAUACUGGAACGGGGAGGACAGCGUUAAGCUGCAGGCUUUGCUUGAUACCUUCCGCGGGGGUAACUUUCAGCGACCAAGAGAUGCGACCAAGAUGGCACUCGUCUUGAUCGCGAAUAACAUUUUAUUUGGUCAAGACUACCAUAGACGGGUGACGCCUUAAUUGCUGUCAUUGGUGGAGGACAUCGACGUUUGGAAUGUCUUCCCAUGGGGGCACUAUGUUUGGAAACUGACCUUGGACUACCUUUUGAAGGGGUUCGAAGUUCCUGACUUGAGCGUGACAAAGGAAACUCGGUUACGUUACAACAUUUACGGAUUCGCAUGGGUGAUACAGUUAUGGGCAAUGGAGACAAUUUCGGCCCUCCGAAAAAUAGUUGCCCUCUCUGGUCAGAAGGACAACGUCCACCCAUGAAUGUGCAGAUGGGAUUGCAAUCAGAAGCCAAAAGACUUCUACAGGACAAUUCAGAAGUUAGAGUCAUCUGACCAAUUGUGGGCACUGGAGGCGUUGUAACCCACCACGGAUGAGGCCCUCCGGGAGUAUUUUGUGGACCUUGAUGUCCCGUUAUCAGAGGGCAACGAGUACGUGCCAAUAGGGCACAUGGAGGAUCGGUCAGCUUGGGGCUUAGGUGCGAGGCUAAAAAGGAAAAGCUUGAAGGAGAAAAGAGCCUCUGGUGGCACGAAGAGGAUGCACACCGCCGCUGCUUUAGUUGAUGAGUUGAUGGAUGAAGGGGACGACCAUGGUCAAGGCAGUGAACAGCCAGUAAGGACAAUUGUAACAGUUUUGUGUUCUCCAAUUCCAUUUGUGAUUAUCGAAUAACAUUUCUGUGUUUGCGGUUGGACCAUGGGUCGGCAGCUCCAGAACCACCCACCGGUCUUCCUCAAAUGCAAAGUGGAAACGACCUGUCGUUUACGGAAGCGACGACAGGUCCUCAAGCACCGAUAGGUCCAGCUCAACCGCAGACUGCUAACUAGCCGGCGUAUGCGGAAGCGACAAUAGGUCCUGAAGCACCAAUCGGUUCGGCUCCACCGCAGACUGCUAACGAG